AAUAUAAUUCUGUGUGAUAUAUUUGUAAGCAAGGAUCUAUGAAAAGGCCAACAUCGCAAUCUUUGCACUCGUACCGAGAAUCCGCUCUUUUAUCAUUUCUGCUACAAAUUACACAUCUCCGUCUUCUGUAUACACUUCAUUUCGAUGCCGCAUAUAUGCGGCAUAUCUCCUCUUCCUAAAUUGUCCAUUUUUGUGCACAAUCUGAGCGUCAGUUAGGGAGACAUUACUGUACAUCGUUACAAGGUUAUAAGCCACCGCCUACUCAGUGCGACAAACUGAGAGCGCGAUUCUAGAAUUCGCGAUACACUCAUGCACAUACAAUUCUAUUAGAUUGAAAGCUACUAUCUUUUACCAGUCUAUCAAAUUGUCAAAUUCAAUUAUUCCAUUUCCUGAUCUGAAGCAGUAUUUACCACGAACCCACAGAGAUACAUCUUCACCGCUCGAGAUGUAUCUUCAUGUCUUUUCUUGUUAAGGCUACGAGGUAAUCAAACUCUAAAUUUCUAAAAUAGACUAAAAAAUAAACUCUAAAAAUACUCUAAAAAAAACUCUAAAAUAGAAUAAAAAUUUCUAAAUAGACAUCGGCUAGUCCCCGAAACGUAUUCUAUAAACCUAGCAGCGACCCGUCGAUGAAAGAAGCUACGGCAAGUGCACGCAAUUCCCUUAUCAAAAUUCCAAAAUUGCAUCCAACCUCCGGCCACGCAAAGCUGCCUGGCCCUCGGCUCGUAACAAUAUUUACCUUCGAAUUCCGUAUUGUUGUUCUUGGUUGAUUGGGGGACAUUCGUAGGUUGACCACCCGAGAACUCCGCUACGAAAUGUGCGACUAAGCUAAUCACGAGGAACGUCAACGAAAACUUCUGCAUAUUGAGAUAUCUCAACUUCCUUGCCUGAGUAUCACUAUCAACGAUACUAUCUCCGGUGCUGACUAUCGGGUCAAGUUCGGAUUGCUCGAUUUUAUACUUCUGCCGUCGAUCUUGCUCUUCGACCCCGGACUUCAUUAUUUUCCGGGGAUUGAUCAUUCCAGUUCAGAAUUAUGCAUUACGUGUCGCUGCGUCGUUAAUUUUUCACAGACGUGUUAUUUCCCAUGAACAGGGAAAGUCGGGCAGAUAAUUAUUUGGUUUUAUUUAGUUUUUUAAA
Megalopta genalis is the source of this 1134-nucleotide non-coding RNA. NCBI's taxonomy places the organism in Eukaryota, Metazoa, Arthropoda, Insecta, Hymenoptera, Halictidae. The record is from RefSeq and is a predicted model, not a curated record.